Molecule: ribosomal RNA, 500 nt
Filed under: uncultured bacterium
Lineage: Bacteria
Description: partial 16S ribosomal RNA
Rfam family: Bacterial small subunit ribosomal RNA
Source: RNAcentral
AUUGAACGCUGGCGGCAGGCCUAACACAUGCAAGUCGGGCGGAUGACGGGAGCUUGCUCCUUGAUUCAGUGGCGGACGGGUGAGUAAUGCCUAGGAAUCUGCCUGGUAGUGGGGGACAACGUUUCGAAAGGAACGCUAAUACCGCAUACGUCCUACGGGAGAAAGCAGGGGACCUUCGGGCCUUGCGCUAUCAGAUGAGCCUAGGUCGGAUUAGCUAGUAGGUGAGGUAAUGGCUCACCUAGGCGACGAUCCGUAACUGGUCUGAGAGGAUGAUCAGUCACACUGGAACUGAGACACGGUCCAGACUCCUACGGGAGGCAGCAGUGGGGAAUAUUGGACAAUGGGCGAAAGCCUGAUCCAGCCAUGCCGCGUGUGUGAAGAAGGUCUUCGGAUUGUAAAGCACUUUAAGUUGGGAGGAAGGGCAGUAAGUUAAUACCUUGCUGUUUUGACGUUACCGACAGAAUAAGCACCGGCUAACUCUGUGCCAGCCGCCGCAGUAA